This 460-nucleotide ribosomal RNA is filed under the name uncultured bacterium. RNAcentral describes it as "partial 16S ribosomal RNA". It matches the Rfam family "Bacterial small subunit ribosomal RNA", at positions 338 to 795 of the family's 1533-position model. The record is from RNAcentral.
CCUACGGGAGGCAGCAGUGAGGAAUAUUGGUCAAUGGACGAGAGUCUGAACCAGCCAAGUAGCGUGAAGGAUGACUGCCCUAUGGGUUGUAAACUUCUUUUAUAAAGGAAUAAAACGAGGCACGUGUGCCUUUUUGCAUGUACUUUAUGAAUAAGGAUCGGCUAACUCCGUGCCAGCAGCCGCGGUAAUACGGAGGAUCCGAGCGUUAUCCGGAUUUAUUGGGUUUAAAGGGAGCGUAGAUGGGUUGUUAAGUCAGUUGUGAAAGUUUGCGGCUCAACCGUAAAAUUGCAAUUGAUACUGGCAGUCUAGAGUACAGUUGAGGUAGGCGGAAUGCGUGGUGUAGCGGUGAAAUGCUUAGAUAUCACGAAGAACCCCGAUUGCGAAGGCAGCUUACUAAACUGUGACUGACAUUGAUGCUCGAAAGUGUGGGUAUCAAACAGGAUUAGAUACCCUAGUAGUC